AAUUUUUAUAACAGGGAUUCUGAAUAGCUUUUCCUCAUCAUCUAUAAUGUUCCACUUUUGGGAAAGUACUCUAUGUCUUAUGAAAUAUUUUUGCAUAAUAACAUGAGUAAAGAUUAAUUUCAACUGGUAGAUCUGCAUGUAUCACCACUUGUAAUUCUAAAGAGUGAAUACAAAGCUCCAAGAAAUUGAUGCAUAAAUCCUAGCUGAAAAUUAUCUAGAAUAUUUUUUUUAAUGGUAUUGACUGUUUGUUUGGCAGCAUAUACAGGUACUUGAUUUUUUUAACCAUUUUGUAAGAUCUAUGCAUUGCUGGUACUGGUUAAAAAAACCCUGUUUUUUUCUCAGUUAUGGGUACAUAAAGUGGGAAAAAUACAAAGUGGUUGAAUUGAAAUCAAAAUAUUGAAAAUACUACAGUGAUCUUUUUAAGAACUGGAUCAAAAUUUUUGAGACAAGAACAGAGUCUAAACCACAUUACAAUCUUACCCCUGUUAAAUACCUACAAAAUAAAAGGAAUCUGUAGCAGAGUAGACCAGAGUAAAUGAUUCCACCUCGCAGUAGCUUUUGAGAUAAUUAAAUGAGUUCUUUUUCUUCUUUACAAAAUGGGUCCAUGCAGAUCUUUUCAUGGAAAGUAGUUGAGUCUGAACAUUCUUUCUUAAAAUAUCCAGAUAGCCAAAGGGGUUGCAUUUAAAUCCCUCUCUUGUAAGAAGUCUACUUCAGGUAUCUGAAGCCUUCUCACCAAAACCUAGGAUAUAUAUGUGUACGUAUAUAUAUACACACACACAUAUAUGUAUACAGAAAUUAAAUAGAACAAUUAGAUUAAAGAAAAUACAAAAAUAUUCUACUUUCAAAUUUUAAUUUCACCUGCUUAGCCCACCAGACUUGCAGACCUUCCCUGAGGUUCUCAGGGAGGAAGCUAAAAGCUGGAGAUGAGUAAGACCUGAACUGACAACCACUGAAAACAGUGAAAAGAAACCUUGUAAUUGAGAUUCCAUGGAAUUCUAAGCUUUUCAUCUCAAAAAGAAAGAAGGAGGACCAGAAAAGACUGCAGGGAAGAGCUAAGAGCAGCAAGGAUAAUAAUCCCAGUUGCUGCAUGGCUUUCAUCAAAAGCAGUGAGCAAGUGGGGAGUCCUGCUGGAGGAGACGCAAGGCCUUUGUGGGGAUAGAAAAGCCACACUACAUGAGGGGAAGUUUAAUUACCCAGCUGAUUGGACAAUACUGGAGGGUAUUUUAUGAAGUAGCAGUUUAAUUGAGAUGGAGAUAUGCAGUACCUCAUGGUUGUGGCACACUGGAAAUAUUCUCUGAGCAGAUACAGCAACACAAAAGGUUACGGUGACCUGGGACCAAUGUUCAGCUGGAGGAACUUCUGGGCAGGGCAGCUUAUUUCUUUCCAAGAGUCUCCAAUUCUCUUUGCCCCAGUUUUUGAGGUACGUAAAGAAUAUUUUACCUUACUAUCUGAGAGACUGCAAAGAAUUGAUCCUUGUCGACAAAAAAAGCAGCAACUUGACACAAAGUGGCUGAUCAGUUUGAGGGGGUAAGGAGGAAAUCUGCAGAAGAAAAUCACAAAUUAAGGUUUUUGUCUCAAGUCCCACAUGCCUUCUCUGGAAAAUCUUCUUGAAGUUGUUACUGGUGUUACAUGUGAUUUCUGUGCUCAUUAGGAAGACAGAAUGUGCUGCCUGAUGGAGGCUGAAAUCUUAUUGUUGCUGAACAGGUCAAGCAAAAUGCCACAGCCAGCUGAUAGAUCCUGGUGUGCCUAAUGCAUCAAUUCCACAAAACCUCUGAGUUAGGCAAAAUUGCACCAGAUGGGAAUAUCUCCAUUAACUCACCCUCAUCCACACCACUGCAGCUGUCUCUGCCAGCUGACCUUGGCAUUUGGGAGCGUGUUUUCUACCAGACACCCAGAUCAAACAACAGAAGAUGUGCAGCACUUCUGCUAAAAUGCCACGAAGGGAUGAACUGGAAAAGCACAUCAGUGAAACAGAUACUUAAAGCCAAAAAGUAACAGCCACACCAGGCUGUCCAAGGUGGGUACGUCAUUGUGUGCUGGAAAUCUGGGUGGAAGAGGAUUUAAAGGGAGAAUUUUCUGCAUUAGAUGUGCUUCUCUUGUCCUUCCCUAUGACAUUUGGGCAUCUCUCAUCAAAGCCAGACAGAAGGAAUUCUAAAGCCCUGAUACUGACCACAUUUUGCCUUUUCACAGAAUAUUUUCUUACAAGGAAUGAGUAUCAGUGUACCAAGAUUAAAGGGUCAGGAAGAAGAGGCACACAGCUAAACAAAAAUACCUGGGAUCAGUGGUAACUAAGGAAGGAUUCCUUUCCAGAAGGAAAAACUGCAAGACAUCACUUUCAAGUAGCACUUCACCAGCUUUAAGUGCAAUGUACCUUCAAGGACAUGGAUAUUUGACCAGGUUUCCCACAUUCCAAGGCAAUUUUGCCUCCACAGAGAGAGCCUGCACAGAAGUUUCCACCCACGGAGAGCUCCCCUGGCAGGAGUUGUCAGAGGCAGGGAGUUCUCAUUUUCUGAGCCCUCACUGACAUCUGACCCUCCUUGCAACAGGAAGUAAUCUAGAGAAUCACCUUGAUAGAGAUGGUAUAUUAAAAAAAAAAAAAAAAUUAAAUGAGAAGAAUGAGGAGCUCUAAUUUAAUCACCGUGUAGGAACACGCAUUUAGAGAAAGGAAAUGAAUGUGUGACAGAGCCAAGGAAAGCUAAGGAAUAAUCUGAUUAUUUCUAGCAUAAACAUAAUCACUGGGAUAGCAUCCUUGACUGGCUUCAGCAAUUUGUAUCUGCUCAUACCUGAGUAAACUGGAAGUUAAAUGGACUCUAACUCAUCUUGAAACACAGGUUUUUGAAAAAGAACCAUCACAGCUGAAGGAAAGCUGUCUGUCUUCCCCUCUUACCUCAGCAGAGACCACAUUUGCUAUGGAUAAUCCUUCCAACAAAAUGAAAGGAGAGAUGUUUGCUUUUUGGUACCUACCAGGCUGAGGAAUCUGCUCCAGCUGUCCCUGCAGUGGCCAGGAUCAUCAGCCCCUUCACCCUCGUUGUUUUUAAAGGGGGCCAAGGUGGGGAGGUUUAAAAUGUAAAGAGGAACAGGAAAUUGCCUUGAUUGUUUGGACAUACAGGGUUAGAGAGCGAGGAACAGAGAAGAAAAAGAAGCCCUGCAAAUAUUCUUUUCAUUUCUUAAAAUGGCGAUAUUUAUUUGUUAAGAUAAUUAAUUUCAAAUAAUUAUUAACAUAAUAGUUAACUCUGAAAAACUUCAUCAAAAUUAAAUGAAACAAUGAGCCGGUUCCUUCUGAUCAUGCUCAUUGAGACUGCAGCUAUGAAAAAAGGCAUGGGCUACUAUAAAAUCAUUAUUUGUUUCCAUCCACUUGCACAAACAUUAUAAAUAAGACUUUCCUUAUAAAAAUCACAGAAGAUGCUUGUGGCACAUUUUGUAAAAUGCAACUAGAAAAAGACAAGAUACUGUUAAUAAAUAAUACAUUCAAUAACAAAGCAAUUUUUGCUAUUAAGAGACAUCUAGACAUUUUGGGGUACAGUCACCAUGAAACCACCUGAAAAAGGGACAUUCUUCCAAGAAGCACUGCACAGUACUUGAAAAAUGAACAAAUUCUACUGACAUAAUAAUAGAAAAUACAUUAUUGCAGGGCAAAGAAAGAGAUUCCCUUAGUCCUUGAACAGUGUUGGCUGACAGCAAACAUUUGCUGCAUUGGAGAGUGAAUUAGAUCGAAGCCCUAAUCACAAGACUCAGAACACCACCACACUUUGGGAUGUUUAACACACUCCACACAAGUACCUUUGCCCCUGAGCAUGCCAAAAAACCAAUGAUUUGAGAUGUUCACCCAAGUGCUCCUGUCAUUUGGACACAAUGUUCAGCCUGUAAAGCUUACCCAUCAGAAAUGAGACAAAUAUUACAUGCUGGGCACUGGAGGCAAAACAAAUUCAUGGAAUUCUGCAAUCUCAGAGGCAUAAGGGUUUGCUUAUCUACUUUAAAAUCACCUCGAGACAUCGAACUACCACAGUACCACCACACUUUUUCAAUAAACUGGGCAAGAGAAGGAGGAAUGCAAAUAAAAGUACUAGAAUUUAACAGCUAACACUGACAUCCCACAUCACAUGGCUCCUUCGGGAAUAUUGUGUGAGAGAGCAAAAACGGCAACUGUGCCCAGUCCCUAAAGAGCCAGGAGAAACCCUGUGGCUGUCCUGGCAGGGCUUUGCAUAGAGCAGUCCUGUAAAGCACAGACUGAUCCCACAUCAGCCUGUUUUAUCCAAACACGGAGCUCCUUGCCAACACCUGCUGAAGUUUUGGCAGCACCGCGGAUCCAGGCACCGCUUCCCUGGGUGCUGCACCGGGAGCCUCGUCCCUUCUCACAGCCAGAGCCAGCUACAGAGCUCUGAGGUGGGCAGCUCGGGGAAGGGGACAGCCAGCACCUCACUACUGAAGGGAGAAGCCAAGAGAAGCUUUCAGCAGUGCUUCCUGGGCUGCUUGCCUUCAGAUAACACAGUCUGUUCCCAAGGUAAAACACCAGGGACUCGGGAUAACCCCAGCGACAUUCCCUGGUCCCCUGGCUGGGCAGAUACUCAGGAUGGCUGCAGCUCAAACAAAUACUGCUGCCUUGUGAAAUCACUCACUUCUCAUAAAUACCCCUAUGAGGUAAAUGCAAAAUUAACAGUUUUGAAAAACCUUUGCCCGGCCCAUUUCUGUUUUGGUCAAGCACAAAACUUCCCCAGGUUGCUCCAAGUUCCUUUCAAGUGGCUGUGCCUACAAGAAAUGGAGGGGAAUUCUCAGAGUUUGCACUUCAGCUUCUAGCCAUAAGCAGCAAAAUAUAACAAACCACUUAUCUCCUGGCACAGGCACGCACUGCUGGGAGCAGGAUGUGGGCAGGAAACGUGGCGUGGCAUCACCAGUGAGCCUGACUGAUCUCCCAGCCAGUGCAGCCCCGUGAGCCCGUGCUUGGAAGUAAAUCAGAUGUGCUGGAAAUAGAGACAGAUUGUCCCUCACAGUGCUGGAAAGAAGCAGAUUUAACUUUAGGAACAGAGCAAUGUGUUUGUUACUAUCCUUUGGUAGCCAUGCUACCAAAUCCAAGUCCGAGAAGGAAAAGCAGUCUAAAAGGGGAUGUGGCUCACUGCAAAACCCACUAAAAGUAUUUUUUCCCCUUAUCUUCCCUUCUCUUUUCAGUAUUUUCACACUACAGAGCUCACACUACUAAUCCAUCUCAGGGAUACAACAUUCACAUAAAAAGACAUGCAAGUUUUUACAUUCAUCAUCAUCCACAUGCUACAUUUCACAGUUCAUUAUCAGAGCAAUGUACCGCUCUGGGAAAACAUCACAGCAAGGCACCUUUCAUUUCCUUGGUGUCUUUGUUUGCUUGCUUUUCUCUGGAGCUUUCAGAAAUAGCCAGAUGGAAACAUCAUUAACACAGGUUAAAGCUAAGUGUCUGAGUAGGUGUUUCUUUUUUUGUAAAGAAACAAAAAAGUCUACAAGUCCUUGUAACUUCCAUGAGACAUCAAAUGAAAAUUAAAAAUACUUGUAUUGGUGCCAAAUGUUUUUAUUAUUUGGGGUUAGGGUUAGCUUUAAGUUCCCCUUUGGAGGAGGUCCAGAGAUUGCUCAUGUUACCCAGCCCAACAGGACUGGACACAUCUGCCCUGCUCCAGUCUGGAGGCUGGGUCUGUGUUAAAUGGUGGGAUAGUUACCCUUGCAAGCUCAGUAGAGAGGAACAUUCAAAGUCCUGACUACUCUCACUCAAGCCAGGGUUGCUGGCAGGGAGCUCUGAAUUCACUGCUCCCAAGUUAGGAGACCUCUCUCCUGAAACAACUGGAAAAGAGACACUGAUAAAAAUCAGGAUUAUGUUAUUUAAAUGGUUCUUUUGUGCCUGUUAUAUGCACAAUUGUUUACCAUGGUGCAGAUUUGGUCCCAAAAUUUGCAUGUGGAUUUAGUCCAAAAUGCAUCCAAAAGCUCUUCAUAAGAACAGCUUGUCAGAGUGGUACUGAAUAUGUGAAAACUCAGUCUGGUAAGUUUUGCCUCUAGAUGAAGAUCGGGCCUGUGCCCGUGGGGCUGUAAUUCCAAACAUAAUAUUUGAUCACAGUAAGGAUGAUUGAACACAUUGAAAAGCAAAUUUCAGAUGCAAUUUUGGCCUUACAAGAAGAAGUCCAUGAUUUGUCUGGUACAGUUUUACAAAACAGAAUGGACUCUCAAUUUCCUACUACUGCAAAAUCACUAACACUGGUUGCUGUUCCUAUGUAGAUCAGAGUGAAAGAAGUAUUAAGGAUUUGGUUGAAAUUUGAAAGCAAACUCAAAUUCUACAUCAGGUGGCCUUCAAAAGGCCCAUUGAACUUUGAAUAUAUCUUUGACAUUUUCACCUCACGGUUAUGGAACUGGGCCUGGAUAAAAGGAACUGUUCAUACUACUUUAUCUGUAGUUUUUCUUGAAAUAGCAGCUGGGUGUAUGUUACAGGGGUCUAGUUAAAUAUGGAGUAGAGACUAGACAAGGCAGAGUCUUGUUAGUCUCUAAAAAUGGGGGGAAAUGAUGCCAAAUUGAUUUUUGCCUUUUUGCUUUUCUAUAUAUUCUCUGUAUUCUUUAUUGUAUCUAUUCUCUGGAUUCUCUCUAUUUAUAGUUCUGCAGCCUGGUUUUGUAUUCUAGCUACUUUGCCCAGCACAUUUCCCUGCCCUGAUGGGCAGAAAGACAAAACACUUCCAAGGCCCCUGUCCUAUCUUGGAUCUCCCUAGGAAGCAAGGCUGAGCCCAGCUCUCCAAGAUGUAUUUUUAUAAUCAAAGUUUAGUUCCCAGCUAAGAGGGGAUGGGGCAGGAUUCAGAAAGGGUUGAACUCAGGGAAAUUGCCUCACCACUUAUGUCUCUAAUUGACGAUUUUUGUCAAUUAUGCUAAUUAACAAAACUUAUAAAACUGUAUUCAGCCCGUGGAGGGGGUGUGGGCAUUCUGUGGACAUUUUCCAUGUCUGUCCCUGGAAGCCUCCAAUAAAGACCAGCCUUUAUCCUACACUAUCUUCAGAGUGUGUUGUUUUCUUUCUAGGUUCUUUAAGGCAUCAGGAUCACCAUGGUAGUUACAGGCCCUUAUUAAGGGGAAAACUCCUUGUUUUUAACUCAAGUCGAAAGCCAUUUUGGAAGUCAACUUCUAUUUUAUUGACACCUGACUGAAUAUGAGCAUAUAAGAUAUACCAAAGAUUCAAAAUGUAACUAUGUUCAAUUUAGGAUAAAACCCAAAGACACUUAACAGUUUCAUAAACUGGGAUUUAUGAAAGCCAAAAAAUCUUUCAGUUUUUAAAGAGAAAGAUAAUUUGGUGAGAUUUCGUCACUGAAAAUCUAAGUACUGUUAUGAAAAGAAAAUAUUGUGCCCAACACAGGAAAAAAGCAUAAGACCAACUUUUUUUAAGAAAACCAGCAUCUGAGAUUAGAAUAAUGCCUUAGACAUAAACUGUCAUUUUAAAAACAAGAGAGAAGAAAGAAGUAUUUCUUCCUUACAAACACUAUCAGAAAAGAAUUGCAGUUGAAAAGCAGAGGGAGAAGAUAAUCCCAUUCCAUCAAAAAAUCUAAGAAAAUUAUUUGAUGCAUGGAAACACUCACAGACAUCAGAUCCAUCAAGAAUAAUAAAUUACCUGAGGAUUUCUAAUUCACAGCCAGUGAAUGGUGAAGCUUCCCAGUGUAGGAAAAAUCCUUUUUCAUUUUCACUUGGCUCAUCCAACGCACCUGACAAUGGAGCAGCUCGUGGAUCACUUCCACGAGACAAGGACGUGACACAGCUCAUGACUGGAUUUCAAUAUGUGGUGCCUUUGUGUGGCAGAA
Molecule: long non-coding RNA, 7781 nt
Filed under: Taeniopygia guttata (zebra finch)
Lineage: Eukaryota; Metazoa; Chordata; Aves; Passeriformes; Estrildidae
Description: lncRNA (ENSTGUG00000024061.1)
Source: RNAcentral